This 322-nucleotide ribosomal RNA is filed under the name uncultured Sistotrema. Its description in RNAcentral is "eukaryotic LSU rRNA". Lineage: Eukaryota; Fungi; Basidiomycota; Agaricomycetes; Corticiales; Corticiaceae. The record is from RNAcentral.
CGCACCUUGCGCUCCCUGGUAUUCCGGGGAGCACGCCUGUUCGAGUGUCGUGAAUACCUCAAGCCGGAUGCUUUAUUGUCAUCUUUGGGCUUGGAUUUGGACUUUGCCGCAAGCCUUGAAUGGCGACGGCUGGUCUUAAAAGCAUUAGCUGCUCCAUGUUUGUACACUUGGUUCUACUCGGCGUGAUAAGUUCAUGACCGCUGAGGACAUCCCGUCUGUAAGGCGGGAUGGCCGAGAGUGCCUUGGAGCGCUGCCAAUCGUCUUGACGGACAACUAUUUUCAACUUUGACCUCGAAUCAGGCGGGACUACCCGCUGAACUUA